AUGAACGCUGGCGGCGUGCCUAAUACCUGCAAGUCGGGCGAACAGAUGAGGAGCUUGCUCCUCUGACGUUCGCGGCGGACGGGUGAGUAACACGUGGAUAACCUACCUAUAAGACUGGGAUAACUUCGGGAAACCGGAGCUAAUACCGGAUAAUAUAUUGAACCGCAUGGUUCAAUAGUGAAAGACGGUUUUGCUGUCACUUAUAGAUGGAUCCGCGCCUCAUUAGCUAGUUGGUAAGGUAACGGCUUACCAAGGCAACGAUGCGUAGCCGACCUGUGAGGGUGAUCGGCCACACAGGAACUGAGACACGGUCCAGACUCCUGCGGGAGGCAGCAGUAGGGAAUCGUCCGCAAUGGGCGAAGGCCUGACGGAGCAACGCCGCGUGAGUGAUGAGAGUCUUCGGAUCGUAAAACUCUGUUAUUAGGGAAGAACAAAUGUGUAAGUAACUAUGCACGUCUUGACGGUACCUAAUCAGAAAGCCACGGCUAACUACGUG
Molecule: ribosomal RNA, 496 nt
Filed under: uncultured bacterium
Lineage: Bacteria
Description: partial 16S ribosomal RNA
Rfam family: Bacterial small subunit ribosomal RNA
Source: RNAcentral